Molecule: long non-coding RNA, 563 nt
Filed under: Eucalyptus grandis
Lineage: Eukaryota; Viridiplantae; Streptophyta; Magnoliopsida; Myrtales; Myrtaceae
Description: long non-coding RNA (EGRA_LNC007742)
Source: RNAcentral
AAGAAUGUUCUUGGUAAGCCCUUUUAAGUUAGUACCGUCUUCUUUCUGCUUGAUCAGCUCCAACACGCAUUAAUUUAACCACGCAUGUGAAAAGAAAUCGCAGCAUGGAGGACCUUAUUCUUUUUCUUGAUUCUUUCUUCAGUUCAGGUACUACCGUCAUCAGUGUCCAGCUCCCAUGUCUCUGCAUAUCUAGCAAAGCUUAUUAGCUUGAAAUUAAAAGGAGCAGUUGGGCUUUUCUUUUGGCCACCUAACCACCUCUUCUUUCCUACUAUAAGAAUCUUCUUCUCCCUCUUUAUCCAUCGCUUCUGGGAUACUAAAUGUGGUUCUUCUUCUGCAUUUGCUAACACUCGAUGUGAAUUUUGUCACUUCGAGCAAUACCCAUGAUUCGGUUCCUUAAAAUGUUGCAGUUUCCAGUACUUCCUCUUUACUUCUUCUUUACUUGAAACUGGACACGCUUCCUAAACUGAGCUGAGAGGUAAAAAAAUGGGUAUUCAAAUGCACUUGAUUGUCAUGCUGAUGGGAGUACCUGUGCUCUGCAAUUUGUUGUGGGUUCACGGAUCUGC